RNAcentral lists this ribosomal RNA (460 nucleotides) under uncultured bacterium. RNAcentral's name for it is "partial 16S ribosomal RNA". It matches the Rfam family "Bacterial small subunit ribosomal RNA", at positions 338 to 795 of the family's 1533-position model. The record is from RNAcentral.
CCUACGGGGAGCAGCAGUGAGGAAUAUUGGUCAAUGGGCGCGAGCCUGAACCAGCCAAGUAGCGUGAAGGAUGACUGCCCUACGGGUUGUAAACUUCUUUUAUAAGGGAAUAAAGUGAGGCACGUGUGCCUGUUUGUAUGUACUUUAUGAAUAAGGAUCGGCUAACUACGCGCCAGCAGCACCGGUAAUACGGAGGAUCCGAGCGUUAUCCGGAUUUAUUGGGUUUAAAGGGAGCGUAGAUGGGUUGUUAAGUCAGUUGUGAAAGUUUCCGGCUCAACCGUAGAAUUGCAAGUGAGACUGGCAGUCUUGAGUACAGAUGAGGUAGGCGGAAUUCGUGGUGUAGCGGUGAAAUGCUUAGAUAUCACGAAGAACUCCGAUUGCGAAGGCAGCUUACUAAACUGCCACUGACGUUGAUGCUCGAAAGUGUGGGUAUCAAACAGGAUUAGAUACCCCUGUAGUC